AUUGAACGCUAGCGGGAUGCUUUACACAUGCAAGUCGAACGGCAGCGCGGACUUCGGUCUGGCGGCGAGUGGCGAACGGGUGAGUAAUGUAUCGGAACGUGCCCAGUAGCGGGGGAUAACUACGCGAAAGCGUAGCUAAUACCGCAUACGCCCUACGGGGGAAAGCAGGGGAUCGUAAGACCUAGCACUAUUGGAGCGGCCGAUAUCGGAUUAGCUAGUUGGUGAGGUAUCGGCUCACCAAGGCGACGAUCCGUAGCUGGUUUGAGAGGACGACCAGCCACACUGGGACUGAGACACGGCCCAGACUCCUACGGGAGGCAGCAGUGGGGAAUUUUGGACAAUGGGGGCAACCCUGAUCCAGCCAUCCCGCGUGUGCGAUGAAGGCCUUCGGGCUGUAAAGCACUUUUGGCAGGAAAGAAACGUCGCGGGCUAAUACCCCGUGGAACUGACGGUACCUGCAGAAUAAGCACCGGCUAACUACG
Molecule: ribosomal RNA, 482 nt
Filed under: uncultured bacterium
Lineage: Bacteria
Description: partial 16S ribosomal RNA
Rfam family: Bacterial small subunit ribosomal RNA
Source: RNAcentral